This 253-nucleotide ribosomal RNA is filed under the name uncultured bacterium. Its description in RNAcentral is "partial 16S ribosomal RNA". It matches the Rfam family "Bacterial small subunit ribosomal RNA", at positions 524 to 776 of the family's 1533-position model. The record is from RNAcentral.
UACGAAGGGGGCUAGCGUUGUUCGGAAUUACUGGGCGUAAAGCGCGCGCCGGCGGGUCAUCAAGUCAGAGGUGAAAUCCCCGAGCUCAACUCUGGAACUGCCUUUGAAACUGGUGACCUUGAGUACGGGAGAGGUGAGUGGAAUUCCCAGUGUAGAGGUGAAAUGCGUAGAUAUUGGGAGGAACACCGGUGGCGAAGGCGGCGACCUGGUCCGAUACUGACGCUGAGGCGCGAAAGCGUGGGGAGCAAACAGG